RNAcentral lists this non-coding RNA (30 nucleotides) under Rattus norvegicus (Norway rat). Lineage: Eukaryota; Metazoa; Chordata; Mammalia; Rodentia; Muridae. The record is from RNAcentral.
UCAGGUGUUUUGGUAAAGCUGUUGUCCUUU